Molecule: ribosomal RNA, 294 nt
Filed under: uncultured bacterium
Lineage: Bacteria
Description: partial 16S ribosomal RNA
Rfam family: Bacterial small subunit ribosomal RNA
Source: RNAcentral
GUAGUCCAUGCCGUAAACGUUGGGCGCUAGGUGUGGGGCUCUUUCCACGAGUUCCGUGCCGCAGCAAACGCAUUAAGCGCCCCGCCUGGGGAGUACGGCCGCAAGGCUAAAACUCAAAGGAAUUGACGGGGGCCCGCACAAGCGGCGGAGCAUGCGGAUUAAUUCGAUGCAACGCGAAGAACCUUACCAAGGCUUGACAUGGGGCGAAAACUGGCAGAGAUGUCAGGUCCGCAAGGGCGCUUCACAGGUGGUGCAUGGUUGUCGUCAGCUCGUGUCGUGAGAUGUUGGGUUAAG